This 403-nucleotide long non-coding RNA is filed under the name Theobroma cacao (cacao). RNAcentral's name for it is "long non-coding RNA (TCAC_LNC001546)". Lineage: Eukaryota; Viridiplantae; Streptophyta; Magnoliopsida; Malvales; Malvaceae. The record is from RNAcentral.
AACAUGAAUUUGAAUUUAAAAAUUAAUAUGUUAACUUACCAAUUCAUUAUUUAUAAUUAAGUGAACAUUUGUCAAUUAUAUAAACUCUUAAAAACUUUAAAAUUGAUAUAUUAACCUGACACACUCGGUUCAACAACUACUGACUAAAAUUUAGCUCCUUCAAGUGCUGGGGAAGUGGAAGCUUAAAACCGAAAUUGAGAGGAAAAAAUGCCAAUUCAUGCCAAAGAUGGCCUCUAUGUAAUCUCAGCAACUUCGUAGAGAAAGCGAGAGAGAUGGAUGAAUAACCUGGAUUGAUUUCCUGUUGAUCUGCCACUAAAAGAGACUCGUCUUGUGACGAUUUCUGGCCACUGUUGCCAUGUGCUGAUAUGCAAACUGUGCUAACAAUAAUGUAAUGGUAGAUGAA